UACGUAGGGACCAAGCGUUGUUCGGAUUUACUGGGCGUAAAGGGCGCGUAGGCGGCUUAACAAGUCACUUGUGAAAUCUCCGGGCCUAACUCGGAACGGCCAAGUGAAACUGUCAAGCUAGAGUGCAGAAGGGGCAAUCGGAAUUCUUGGUGUAGCGGUGAAAUGCGUAGAUAUCAAGAGGAACACCUGAGGUGAAGACGGGUUGCUGGGCUGACACUGACGCUGAGGCGCGAAAGCCAGGGGAGCAAACGGG
This 253-nucleotide ribosomal RNA is filed under the name uncultured bacterium. Its description in RNAcentral is "partial 16S ribosomal RNA". It matches the Rfam family "Bacterial small subunit ribosomal RNA", at positions 524 to 776 of the family's 1533-position model. The record is from RNAcentral.